AUUGAACGCUGGCGGCAUGCUUUACACAUGCAAGUCGAACGGCAGCGGGGUAGUGCUUGCACUACUGCCGGCGAGUGGCGAACGGGUGAGUAAUAUAUCGGAACGUACCGAGUAAUGGGGGAUAACCAAUCGAAAGAUUGGCUAAUACCGCAUACGUCCUGAGGGAGAAAGCGGGGGAUAGCAAGACCUCGCGUUAUUCGAGCGGCCGAUAACUGAUUAGCUAGUUGGGGGGGUAAAGGCCUACCAAGGCGACGAUCAGUAGCGGGUCUGAGAGGACGAUCCGCCACACUGGGACUGAGACACGGCCCAGACUCCUACGGGAGGCAGCAGUGGGGAAUUUUGGACAAUGGGGGCAACCCUGAUCCAGCCAUGCCGCGUGUAUGAAGAAGGCCUUCGGGUUGUAAAGUACUUUUGUUAGGGAAGAAAAGGGAAGUGCUAAUACCACUUUUUGCUGACGGUACCUAAAGAAUAAGCACCGGCUAACUACGUG
RNAcentral lists this ribosomal RNA (490 nucleotides) under uncultured bacterium. RNAcentral describes it as "partial 16S ribosomal RNA". It matches the Rfam family "Bacterial small subunit ribosomal RNA", at positions 30 to 507 of the family's 1533-position model. The record is from RNAcentral.